GACGAACGCUGGCGGCGUGCUUAACACAUGCAAGUCGAACGGAAAGGCCCUGCUUUUGUGGGGUGCUCGAGUGGCGAACGGGUGAGUAACACGUGAGUAACCUGCCCUUGACUUUGGGAUAACUUCAGGAAACUGGGGCUAAUACCGGAUAGGAGCUCCUGCUGCAUGGUGGGGGUUGGAAAGUUUCGGCGGUUGGGGAUGGACUCGCGGCUUAUCAGCUUGUUGGUGGGGUAGUGGCUUACCAAGGCUUUGACGGGUAGCCGGCCUGAGAGGGUGACCGGCCACAUUGGGACUGAGAUACGGCCCAGACUCCUACGGGAGGCAGCAGUGGGGAAUAGUGCACAAUGGGCGGAAGCCUGAUGCAGCAACGCCGCGUGCGGGAUUACGGCCUUCGGGUUGUAAACCGCUUUCGCCGGUGACGAAGCGUGAGUGACGGUAAUGGGUAAAGAAGCACCGGCUAACUACGUG
RNAcentral lists this ribosomal RNA (468 nucleotides) under uncultured bacterium. RNAcentral's name for it is "partial 16S ribosomal RNA". It matches the Rfam family "Bacterial small subunit ribosomal RNA", at positions 28 to 507 of the family's 1533-position model. The record is from RNAcentral.